RNAcentral lists this ribosomal RNA (374 nucleotides) under uncultured eukaryote. RNAcentral's name for it is "partial 18S ribosomal RNA". It matches the Rfam family "Eukaryotic small subunit ribosomal RNA", at positions 592 to 976 of the family's 1831-position model. The record is from RNAcentral.
UAAUAGUGUAUAUUAAAGUUGUUGCAGUUAAAAAGCUCGUAGUUGAAUGUUGGUGUCGAACGAGCGGUCAGCUUCGGCUGUACUGCUCUCUCGACUCCUUCCUUCUGUGGACUACGUCGCACUUUACUGUGUGGCGCUAGGACGCAGAUCGUUUACUGUGAAAAAAUUAGAGUGUUCAAAGCAGGCCGUACGCUUGAAUACAUUAGCAUGGAAUAAUGGAAUAGGACGUCGGGCCUAUUUUGUUGGUUCUAGGACCGUCGUAAUGAUUAAUAGGGACAGUUGGAGCCGUUUAUAUUCCGUAGUCAGAGGUGAAAUUCUUGGAUUUACGGAAGAUAAACUACUGCGAAAGCAUUCGGCAAGGAUGUUUUCGUUAA